RNAcentral lists this ribosomal RNA (492 nucleotides) under uncultured bacterium. RNAcentral's name for it is "partial 16S ribosomal RNA". It matches the Rfam family "Bacterial small subunit ribosomal RNA", at positions 29 to 507 of the family's 1533-position model. The record is from RNAcentral.
AGUGAACGCUGGCGGUAGGCCUAACACAUGCAAGUCGAACGGCAGCACAGUAAGAGCUUGCUCUUACGGGUGGCGAGUGGCGGACGGGUGAGGAAUACAUCGGAAUCUACUUUUUCGUGGGGAAUAACGUAGGGAAACUUACGCUAAUACCGCAUACGACCUACGGGUGAAAGCAGGGGAUCUUCGGGCCUUGCGCGAUUGAAUGAGCCGAUGUCGGAUUAGCUAGUUGGCGGGGUAAAGGCCCACCAAGGCGACGAUCCGUAGCUGGUCUGAGAGGAUGAUCAGCCACACUGGAACUGAGACACGGUCCAGACUCCUACGGGAGGCAGCAGUGGGGAAUAUUGGACAAUGGGCGCAAGCCUGAUCCAGCCAUACCGCGUGGGUGAAGAAGGCCUUCGGGUUGUAAAGCCCUUUUGUUGGGAAAGAAAAGCAGCAGGUUAAUACCCCGCUGUUCUGACGGUACCCAAAGAAUAAGCACCGGCUAACUUCGUG